CUGGUUGAUCCUGCCAGACCCGACUGCUAUCGGAUUGGGACUAAGCCAUGCGAGUCAACUCCGCAAGGGGUGGCGCACGGCUCAGUAACACGUAGUCAACCUACCCUGGGGACGGGGAUAACCUCGGGAAACUGAGGCUAAACCCCGAUGGGCCAUGGCUCCUGGAAUGGGCUAUGGCUGAAAUCUACAUGGCCCCAGGAUGGGACUGCGGCCGAUCAGGUUGUUGGUGGGGUAAUGGCCCACCAAGCCUAUAACCGGUGCGGGCUCUGAGAGGAGGAGCCCGGAGAUGGGCACUGAGACAAGGGCCCAGGUCCUAUGGGGCGCAGCAGGCGCGAAACCUCCGCAAUGGGCGAAAGCCCGACGGGGUCAGUCCGAGUGGUUCCCGCUGAGGGAACCUUUUGCCAGCUGUAAACAGGCUGGCGAAUAAGGGGUGGGCAAGUUUGGUGUCAGCCGCCGCGGUAAUACCAGCACCCCGAGUGGUCGGGACGAUUAUUGGGCCUAAAGCAUCCGUAGCCGGCCCAGUAAGUCCUCCGUUAAAUCCAACGGCUCAACCGUUGGGCUGCGGGGGAUACUGCUGGGCUAGGGGACGGGAGAGGCGAGGGGUAUUCCCGGGGUAGGGGUAAAAUCCACUGAUCCCGGGAGGACCACCAGUGGCGAAGGCGCCUCGCUAGAACGUGCCCGACGGUGAGGGAUGAAAGCUGGGGGAGCGAACCGGAUUAGAUACCCGGGUAGUCCCAGCCGUAAACGAUGUAGGCUCGGUGUUGGGCUGCCUCAGUGGCAGCCCAGUGCCGCAGGGAAGCCGUUAAGCCUACCGCCUGGGGAGUACGGCCGCAAGGCUGAAACGUAAAGGAAUUGGCGGGGGAGCACCAC
This 870-nucleotide ribosomal RNA is filed under the name uncultured archaeon. RNAcentral describes it as "bacterial SSU rRNA". It matches the Rfam family "Archaeal small subunit ribosomal RNA", at positions 4 to 882 of the family's 1478-position model. The record is from RNAcentral.